RNAcentral lists this ribosomal RNA (474 nucleotides) under uncultured Pseudomonadota bacterium. RNAcentral's name for it is "bacterial SSU rRNA". It matches the Rfam family "Bacterial small subunit ribosomal RNA", at positions 355 to 821 of the family's 1533-position model. The record is from RNAcentral. Lineage: Bacteria; Pseudomonadati; Pseudomonadota.
UGGGGAAUUUUGGACAAUGGGGGCAACCCUGAUCCAGCCAUGCCGCGUGUGUGAAGAAGGCCUUCGGGUUGUAAAGCACUUUCGGCCGGAACGAUAUCGCGCGGGCUAACACUCCGCGUGGAUGACGGUACCGGAAGAAGAAGCACCGGCUAACUACGUGCCAGCAGCCGCGGUAAUACGUAGGGUGCGAGCGUUAAUCGGAAUUACUGGGCGUAAAGUGUGCGCAGGUGGCCGCGCAAGUCGAGUGUGAAAGCCCCGGGCUUAACUUGGGAAUUGCGCUCGAAACUACGUGGCUAGAGUGUGGCAGAGGAAGGUGGAAUUCCACGUGUAGCGGUGAAAUGCGUAGAGAUGUGGAGGAACACCGAUGGCGAAGGCAGCCUUCUGGGCCAACACUGACGCUCAUGCACGAAAGCGUGGGGAGCAAACAGGAUUAGAUACCCUGGUAGUCCACGCCCUAAACGAUGAUGACUAGUU